GAUGAACGCUGGCGGCGUGCCUAAUACAUGCAAGUCGAGCGAACGGACGAGGAGCUUGCUCCUCUGACGUUAGCGGCGGACGGGUGAGUAACACGUGGAUAACCUACCUAUAAGACUGGGAUAACUUCGGGAAACCGGAGCUAAUACCGGAUAAUAUUUUGAACCGCAUGGUUCAAUAGUGAAAGACGGUCUUGCUGUCACUUAUAGAUGGAUCCGCGCUGCAUUAGCUAGUUGGUAAGGUAACGGCUUACCAAGGCAACGAUGCAUAGCCGACCUGAGAGGGUGAUCGGCCACACUGGAACUGAGACACGGUCCAGACUCCUACGGGAGGCAGCAGUAGGGAAUCUUCCGCAAUGGGCGAAAGCCUGACGGAGCAACGCCGCGUGAAUGAUGAAGGUCUUCGGAUCGUAAAACUCUGUUAUUAGGGAAGAACAAAUGUGUAAGUAACUAUGCACGUCUUGACGGUACCUAAUCAGAAAGCCACGGCUAACUACGUG
Molecule: ribosomal RNA, 497 nt
Filed under: uncultured bacterium
Lineage: Bacteria
Description: partial 16S ribosomal RNA
Rfam family: Bacterial small subunit ribosomal RNA
Source: RNAcentral